CCGGGCGGCGGCGGCGGCGGCGGCAGAAGGGACGACUGAGCCCGCGCCCGGAGUUGCCGCUCCUGCCGCCUGGCGCGGGCGGCGCCUUCCCAGCAGAGCCGCGGCGCCGCGAGCGCGGGCGCCCCCUAACGGCGGCGCGGGCGAGAGGCCAGAGGGCCCGACGGCCGCAGGGACUCAGCCGGGCGCAGCGUGGACCGCACGGAAGCCAAGCAAGGCUGCAGAGAGUGGGGAAUUACCUAAAGUCUCCGCGCUAAUUGGUCUCCAGAUAUAGACUCCUGCCAAAUCAUAUUCGCUUCCUGCUAACCAGAUCUGUCUCCUUCCAGGUGGGACCAGCUUCCAGAACUCUGCUGGGAGCUGCAGAACCAGGAGGAGGAGUCUGAUUCUCACCAGUCUUCAGAGUGAGGCCCUGUGGUUGUCCUUGGAUGUCACCAUCCUCUUCGCCAUUAUGACUCUAUAAUUAGAGAGAAUGGAUCUGACAUUAGACCAGGAAUCAGAAGCUCUGGCUCCCGUCUUUAGUCCCAGAGUGUCUCCGGGUGCCACAUCUGAGAACUUCACGGGCCUUGAGAGGCCUUGUAUGUCAAAUGGGAAUAAAGCUGCCUGACCAUAGCAUUACAGCCAGCUGGUGUGCGGGAGGCAAGACAGCUCCAGAUUCUGAGUUCUCAUCCUCCCUGAUGGCUCAGGGCUUGAAACACUCAUCAAUAAGACAUUUCAGGCCUUGGUUGUCACCCGCCUCAUUCCUAAUCCAAACCACUUCCCCUGCAUGUGUUUGCUUAUUGAGCAAGAGCUUAUUCACUUACAAAACACACCUCCUGCCUCUUCUGUCCUGUCUCUCCCAGGCUCUCCAGGUCCUAUGGCCUGUCCUUCCUAACACAUCCCAGGCCUCACUUUCCACACAUCCUCCUGCAUGGAUGACCACCCCCUCCCUCAACCCAAUGAGGGAGCACCCAUACACCCCCUACUCCCCCAAAUGCAUUGCUUUUGUCAAGGAGUUCUGCAGGAUUCUGUCUGAAAUAUGCUUAUAUUACCUUUAGAGAGUUCCUAUGUCUUACACAAGGAGCAAAUAGCAAUAUUUGUAAAGCUGCCAUAGUACAGGAUCUGUUCAUGUUCUAGGAGCUUCUGAAAUGAUUAAAAGGCAAGAAUGCUAUUUUAAACCUAUUAAAAUGUCCCUCGGGUUUCAGGAUGGUGGUGGGGGUUCAACACCUCAAUGGCUAACAGUGGAUCCAUUGUUACCC
This 1232-nucleotide long non-coding RNA is filed under the name Equus asinus (donkey). RNAcentral's name for it is "lncRNA (ENSEASG00005025839.1)". The record is from RNAcentral. Lineage: Eukaryota; Metazoa; Chordata; Mammalia; Perissodactyla; Equidae.